UCCUACGGGAGGCAGCAGUAGGGAAUAUUGGGCAAUGGGCGAAAGCCUGACCCAGCGACGCCGCGUGAGGGAUGAAGGUCUUCGGAUUGUAAACCUCUUUCAGUAGGGAAGAAGCGAAAGUGACGGUACCUAAAGAAGAAGCACCGGCUAACUAUGUGCCAGCAGCCGCGAUAAUA
Molecule: ribosomal RNA, 176 nt
Filed under: uncultured bacterium
Lineage: Bacteria
Description: partial 16S ribosomal RNA
Rfam family: Bacterial small subunit ribosomal RNA
Source: RNAcentral